GAUGAACGCUGGCGGCGUGCCUAAUACAUGCAAGUCGAGCGAACAGAUAAGGAGCUUGCUCCUUUGACGUUAGCGGCGGACGGGUGAGUAACACGUGGAUAACCUACCUAUAAGACUGGGAUAACUUCGGGAAACCGGAGCUAAUACCGGAUAACAUAUUGAACCGCAUGGUUCAAUAGUGAAAGGCGGCUUUGCUGUCACUUAUAGAUGGAUCCGCGCCGUAUUAGCUAGUUGGUAAGGUAACGGCUUACCAAGGCAACGAUACGUAGCCGACCUGAGAGGGUGAUCGGCCACACUGGAACUGAGACACGGUCCAGACUCCUACGGGAGGCAGCAGUAGGGAAUCUUCCGCAAUGGGCGAAAGCCUGACGGAGCAACGCCGCGUGAGUGAUGAAGGUCUUCGGAUCGUAAAACUCUGUUGUCAGGGAAGAACAAAUGUGUAAGUAACUGUGCACAUCUUGACGGUACCUGAUCAGAAAGCCACGGCUAACUACGUG
This 497-nucleotide ribosomal RNA is filed under the name uncultured bacterium. RNAcentral's name for it is "partial 16S ribosomal RNA". It matches the Rfam family "Bacterial small subunit ribosomal RNA", at positions 28 to 507 of the family's 1533-position model. The record is from RNAcentral.